CGUGACUAUACAUGCAGUCGAACGAGUUCUGAUUAUUGAAAGGUGCUUGCAUCUUGAUUUAAUUUUGAACGAGUGGCGGACGGGUGAGUAACACGUGGGUAACCUGCCCUUAAGUGGGGGAUAACAUUUGGAAACAGAUGCUAAUACCGCAUAAAUCCAAAAACCGCAUGGUUCUUGGCUGAAAGAUGGCGUAAGCUAUCGCUUUUGGAUGGACCCGCGGCGUAUUAGCUAGUUGGUGAGGUAACGGCUCACCAAGGCAAUGAUACGUAGCCGAACUGAGAGGUUGAUCGGCCACAUUGGGACUGAAACACGGCCCAAACUCCUACGGGAGGCAGCAGUAGGGAAUCUUCCACAAUGGACGCAAGUCUGAUGGAGCAACGCCGCGUGAGUGAAGAAGGCUUUCGGGUCGUAAAACUCUGUUGUUGGAGAAGAAUGGUCGGCAGAGUAACUGUUGUCGGCGUGACGGUAUCCAACCAGAAAGCCACGGCUAACUACGUGCCAACAGCCGCGGUAAUACGUAGGUGGCAAGCGUUAUCCGGAUUUAUUGGGCGUAAAGCGAGCGCAGGCGGUUUUUUAAGUCUGAUGUGAAAGCCCCUCGGCUUAACCGAAGAAGUGCAUCGGAAAACUGGUGAAACUUG
RNAcentral lists this ribosomal RNA (638 nucleotides) under Lacticaseibacillus rhamnosus. Its description in RNAcentral is "bacterial SSU rRNA". It matches the Rfam family "Bacterial small subunit ribosomal RNA", at positions 43 to 644 of the family's 1533-position model. The record is from RNAcentral. Lineage: Bacteria; Bacillati; Bacillota; Bacilli; Lactobacillales; Lactobacillaceae.